This 211-nucleotide RNase P RNA is filed under the name Pedosphaera sp. RNAcentral describes it as "partial RNase P RNA component class A". It matches the Rfam family "Bacterial RNase P class A", at positions 1 to 183 of the family's 367-position model. From Rfam's summary of the family: Ribonuclease P (RNase P) is a ubiquitous endoribonuclease, found in archaea, bacteria and eukarya as well as chloroplasts and mitochondria. Its best characterised activity is the generation of mature 5'-ends of tRNAs by cleaving the 5'-leader elements of precursor-tRNAs. Lineage: Bacteria; Pseudomonadati; Verrucomicrobiota; Pedosphaerae; Pedosphaerales; Pedosphaeraceae. The record is from RNAcentral.
UUGGAAGGGUGGAGGGUCGCUCGCGGCGAAAGUCGCGGGAGGAAAGUCCGAACUCCAUAGGGCGCGGAGCCACGUAACUCCGGUUAGGCCGGAGAUACACGCGGGAGGUCACGACGUAAGGCGUGGCCGACAGACAGUGCCACAGAGAAUAUACCGCCCGCGCCGAAAGGUGCGGGUAAGGGUGAAAAGGCGGUUUAAGAGACCACCGCUC